AUUUAAAUAGCUUAACUAGAGCGUAAUAUUGAAGAUAUUAAGGUGAUUUUGAUCUUUAGAUA
Molecule: transfer RNA, 62 nt
Filed under: Lucifotychus sp. 1 EF-2015
Lineage: Eukaryota; Metazoa; Arthropoda; Insecta; Coleoptera; Staphylinidae
Description: tRNA-Phe
Source: RNAcentral